ACUAAACGCUGGCGGCGUGCCUAACACAUGCAAGUCGUACGAGAAAGUUGGCUUCGGCCGAUGAGUAAAGUGGCGCACGGGUGAGUAAUGCGUGGAUAAUCUGCCCUUUAGUUGGGGAAUAACGUACCGAAAGGUGCGCUAAUACCUGAUAAUACUGCAUAACUACUGUUGUGUAGUCAAAGAAGGCCUCUGUUUACAAGCUUUUGCUGAAGGAUGAGUCCGCGUACCAUUAGCUGGUUGGUGGGGUAAUGGCCUACCAAGGCUACGAUGGUUAGCUGGUCUGAGAGGAUGAUCAGCCACACUGGAACUGAGACACGGUCCAGACUCCUACGGGAGGCAGCAGUGAGGAAUAUUGCGCAAUGGGGGCAACCCUGACGCAGCAACGCCGCGUGAGUGAGGAGGUUUUCGGACCGUAAGCUCUGUCGAGCGGGAAGAAAUGUAUCAUGGCUAAUAUCAUGAUACUUGACGGUACCGCUAAGGAGCACC
Molecule: ribosomal RNA, 486 nt
Filed under: uncultured bacterium
Lineage: Bacteria
Description: bacterial SSU rRNA
Rfam family: Bacterial small subunit ribosomal RNA
Source: RNAcentral